This 1203-nucleotide long non-coding RNA is filed under the name Phasianus colchicus (ring-necked pheasant). RNAcentral's name for it is "lncRNA (ENSPCLG00000000230.1)". Lineage: Eukaryota; Metazoa; Chordata; Aves; Galliformes; Phasianidae. The record is from RNAcentral.
UGGCAUUCACUUUGUAGGAGUAAGGAGAAAGCUAUUUUCAUGUAAAAAUAAUCUGAAACUUUUUUGGAAGCUCCUAGAAAUGGCAGAGAUGAAGAGAAGACAAAUAGUGCUGAUGAUAUUUGGUAUGACAUUGGUAAUUCUCAGAGGGACCCCGCAGUGUAGUGUGCCAGUGUGGAUGUUCUUAGCUUUUAUGAAGGUGACAGACUUGACCUGUCAUGUACUAGUUACACCCUGGACAGACUAGAAAUGUCACAAACUGCUAGCAGUUCCUACUGAAGAUAUAAAAGCGUCUCUUUGGAAAGCUGUGCCACUUAGAAAGAACGGAUCACCUCUAAUGCCCGUCCCUUCUGUGUGCCUCAGCUCCCACCAAGGACUGCAGCACAGGACCACAUCCAGCGUCGUGUCGGCAGUGGAACCGGCACAUGAGAGCCCACCUGCAUGACAGAGGACUUUCUGGAAAACAAGUUCAGCCUUGCUGUCUGCGCCUGGCACGUGAGAAUGAAAACUGGCUUGUUUGGAGCAAAGGCCUCCCUGCAGUCACUGACAGAUGAAAUCUCAGUGUGGAAGGCAGCAAUGGGAUACGCAGACCUUGACUCCGUGAUGUAGCUGUUGUUGAAGGCUUGGCCCUAGAAAGUGAAUUGGAAUAUGAUCAGAUGCAGCUUGCUAUUGCAGGAGUAACACGAGUUCUCUGUAAACUGGUCUCUCAACUAGGCUUUGGAAGCAGCUCUGCAGGAUGUCCUGGGACCAGUGUGACACAACUGGGAGUACCAGCUAGCUGAAAAACUCGCUUCAGAAGCACUCGGCCAUGGCCUGCUGAGGAACUGGAGAGGCCUCGUCUGAGAUGUGCAGAAAGCUCACACCAGUUUAAAGAUACAUGAAUUCUGCUCUGUCAUAACCAUACGAUGCCAAAAAGACCUGCUGCUGCUUCCAGUGACUGACUGCUCAUCUGAUGGGUCUCAGUUCCGAAGUCCAAAAUGAGAUUCCUCUGCUUAAGGACUGGCUAUUCAGAGAUGCACUUGGAGUCCUGCGGCUGCUCCUGAAAUCAGUGGGAACUGACUUCAGGCACCACUGAAACUCACUCCUGGCUCUCCCAGAUGCCUUUUUUUAAUUGAAGAUGCUUGGAUGUUACAAGGUGCUUCUAACAAGGUAAGCUGGAGAUGACAGCGCUUUCAAAGCACAGCAAUUCCUAAGUAUGACAAAUAC